This 266-nucleotide ribosomal RNA is filed under the name uncultured bacterium. Its description in RNAcentral is "partial 16S ribosomal RNA". It matches the Rfam family "Bacterial small subunit ribosomal RNA", at positions 57 to 305 of the family's 1533-position model. The record is from RNAcentral.
GCAAGUCGAACGAGAACGAGAUUGCUUGCAAUCUUUAGUAGAGUGGCGCACGGGUGAGUAACACGUAGAUAAUCUACCUUCAAGCCUGGAAUAACUAUUCGAAAGGGUAGCUAAUGCCGGAUAAAGUUUAUCAGCAUAAGUUGAUUUAUGAAAGAUUGCCGCUUCUUGAAAGCAAUUGGUUGGAGAUGAGUUUGCGGACCAUUAGUUUGUUGGUGGGGUAAAGGCCUACCAAGGCUGCGAUGGUUAGCUGGUCUGAGAGGAUGAUC